Molecule: ribosomal RNA, 810 nt
Filed under: uncultured bacterium
Lineage: Bacteria
Description: bacterial SSU rRNA
Rfam family: Bacterial small subunit ribosomal RNA
Source: RNAcentral
CAUGCAAGUCGAACGAGCGAGAGAGAGCUUGCUUUCUCGAGCGAGUGGCGAACGGGUGAGUAACGCGUGAGGAACCUGCCUCAAAGAGGGGGACAACAGUUGGAAACGACUGCUAAUACCGCAUAAGCCCACGGGUCGGCAUCGACCAGAGGGAAAAGGAGCAAUCCGCUUUGAGAUGGCCUCGCGUCCGAUUAGCUGGUUGGUGAGGUAACGGCCCACCAAGGCGACGAUCGGUAGCCGGACUGAGAGGUUGAACGGCCACAUUGGGACUGAGACACGGCCCAGACUCCUACGGGAGGCAGCAGUGGGGAAUAUUGCACAAUGGGGGAAACCCUGAUGCAGCGACGCCGCGUGGAGGAAGAAGGUCUUCGGAUUGUAAACUCCUGUUGUUGGGGAAGAUAAUGACGGUACCCAACAAGGAAGUGACGGCUAACUACGUGCCAGCAGCCGCGGUAAAACGUAGGUCACAAGCGUUGUCCGGAAUUACUGGGUGUAAAGGGAGCGCAGGCGGGAAGACAAGUUGGAAGUGAAAUCCAUGGGCUCAACCCAUGAACUGCUUUCAAAACUGUUUUUCUUGAGUAGUGCAGAGGUAGGCGGAAUUCCCGGUGUAGCGGUGGAAUGCGUAGAUAUCGGGAGGAACACCAGUGGCGAAGGCGGCCUACUGGGCACCAACUGACGCUGAGGCUCGAAAGUGUGGGUAGCAAACAGGAUUAGAUACCCUGGUAGUCCACACCGUAAACGAUGAUUACUAGGUGUUGGAGGAUUGACCCCUUCAGUGCCGCAGUUAACACAAUAAGUAAUCCACCUGGG